GCCUGGCCCUAAAUAUUGGUGCUUCAUCUUACCUGAGCAUCCGCCCGAGAACUACGAGCGCAAACGCUUAAAACUCUAAGGACUUGGCGGUGCCCCAAAUCCACCUAGAGGAGCCUGUUCUGUAAUCGAUGAUCCACGAUAUACCCGACCAUUCCUUGCAACAACAGCCUACAUACCGCCGUCGCCAGCUCACCCUGUAUGAAGGCCCAACAGUGAGCGCAAUAGUACUUACCACGCUAAAAAGACAGGUCAAGGGA
This 257-nucleotide ribosomal RNA is filed under the name Gymnomyza samoensis (Mao honeyeater). RNAcentral describes it as "partial 12S ribosomal RNA". Lineage: Eukaryota; Metazoa; Chordata; Aves; Passeriformes; Meliphagidae. The record is from RNAcentral.